Molecule: ribosomal RNA, 1444 nt
Filed under: uncultured Bordetella sp.
Lineage: Bacteria; Pseudomonadati; Pseudomonadota; Betaproteobacteria; Burkholderiales; Alcaligenaceae
Description: partial 16S-23S ribosomal RNA intergenic spacer
Rfam family: Bacterial small subunit ribosomal RNA
Source: RNAcentral
AGUUCGAUUCUGUAGCUCAGAUUGAACGCUGGCGGGAUGCUUUACAUGCAAAGUCGACAGCAGCACGGACUUCGGUCUGGUGGCGAGUGGCGAACGGGUGAGUAAUGUAUCCGGAACGUGCCUAGUAGCGGGGGAUAACUACGCGAAAGCGUAGCUGUCUACCUGCGCCCUUCGGGGAAAGCAGAGGACCUUCGGGCCUCGCACUAUUAAACGGCCGAUAUCGGAUUAGCUGGUUGGUGGGAACAACGGCUCACUGAGCGACGAUCGUAGCUGGUUUGAGAGGACAUUGGCCACACUGGGACUGAGACGACCCAGACUCUGGAAGCAGCAGUGAAAUUUUGGACGAUGGAAACCUGGUCCGGCCAUCGUGUGCGAUGAAGGCCUUCGGGUUGUAAAGCACUUUUGGCAGGAAAGAAACGGCACCGGGAUAAUACCCCGUGCAACUGACGAUACCGCAGAGUUAACAGCUAACUACGUGCCAGCAGCCGCGGUAAUACGUAGAUUACAGCGUUAAUCGAAUUACUGGGCGUAAAGCGUGCGCAGGCGGUUCGGAAAGAAGAUGUGAAAUCCCAGAGCUUAACUUUGGAACUCAUUUUUAACUACCGAGCUAGAGUGUGUCAGAGGGAGGUGGAAUUCCCGCGUGUAGCAGUGAAAUGCGUAGAUAUGCGGAGGAACACCGAUGGCGAAGGCAGCCUCCUGGGAUAACACUGACGCUCAUGCACGAAAGCGUAGAACCGAGCGGGAUUAGAUACCCUGGUGAGUCCACGCCCUAAACGAUGUCAACUAGCUGUUGGGGCCUUCGGGCCUUGGUAGCGCAGCUAACGCGUGAAGUUGACCGCCUGGGAAUACGGUCGCAAGAUUAAAACUCGAGAAUUGACGGGGACCCGCACAAGCGGUGGAUGAUGUGGAUUAAUUCGAUUAGCACGAAAACUGCUACUACAUGACAUAUGCGGAAUCCCGAAGAGAUUUAGGAGUGUAAGAGAACCGGAACACAGGUGCUGCAUGGCUGUCGUCAGCUCGUGUCGUGAGAUGUUGGUUGGUCCCGCAACGAGCGCAACCCUUGUCAUUAGUUGCUACGAAAGGGCACUCUAAUGAGACUGCCGGUGACAAACCGGAGGAAGGUGGGGAUGACGUCAAGUCCUCAUGGCCCUUAUGGGUAGGGCUUCACACGUCAUACAAUGGUCGGGACGUGAAGGGUCGCCAACCCGCGAGAGGCCAAUCCCAAGCCCGAUCGUAGUCCGGAUCACAGUCUGCAACUCGACUGCGUGAAGUCGGAAUCGCACAAGUAAUCGCGGAUCAGCAUGUCAUGGUGAAUACGUUCCCGGGUCUUGUACACACCGCGCCAUCACAUGGGAAUUAGGUUUUACCGAAGUAGUUAGCCUAACCGUAAGGAGGGCGAUUACCACAGUAGGAUUCAUGACUGGGGUGAAGUCGUAACAAGGUA